UAUUAUUUCAAGUGUGAAUAUUUUUACCUGGGUAUUAUUAGUUAAGGUCUUUAAACCCAAAGAAUUUGGCGGUAUUUUAUUCCAUUCAGGGGAACCUGUCUCAUAAUUGAUAGUACACGAUUUACUUUACUUAAUUUAUUUGUUUGUAUAUCUCCGUUAUCAGAAAAUCUUUUUGGAGUAAUAAUUUUCUUGUUUUUUUAUUAAAAUUUAUUUCAGGUCAAGGUGCAGCUUAUAAUUAAGUUGAUGAUGGGUUACAAUAAAUUUUUGUUUAUUAUGUAUUUAAUUUUGAAAUUUUUUAAUGAAGGUGGAUUUGAUAGUAAUUUAAUUUAUUUAUUUUAAUUGAAAUUGGCUCUGGAAUGUGUACACAUCGCCCC
This 374-nucleotide ribosomal RNA is filed under the name Aiolopus strepens. RNAcentral's name for it is "partial 12S ribosomal RNA". Lineage: Eukaryota; Metazoa; Arthropoda; Insecta; Orthoptera; Acrididae. The record is from RNAcentral.